Molecule: long non-coding RNA, 574 nt
Organism: Hyla sarda
Lineage: Eukaryota; Metazoa; Chordata; Amphibia; Anura; Hylidae
Exons: 3
Source: RefSeq, a predicted model, not a curated record
CAGAAAUAACACGGCUCCUGUUCAUUCUCCAUCAGUGAGGGGCCGGUGCUGGACACUGUGUAGGGACGCGGGAAUGCAAAGUCAUACACAUGACUGUGACUGAUGCACUAUCUCCAGGACAUGGAGUAGCAUUUCCGGACCUACAGCAAGACGUUGGAUGAAGGCAUAGCCCCAGAAAUAACACUGGUCCUGUUCAUCAGUGAGGGGCCGGUGCUGGACACUGUGUAGGGACACGGGAAUGCAAAGUCAUGCACAUGACUGUGACUGAUGCACUAUUUCCAGGACAUGGAGUAGCAUUUCGGGACCUACAGCAAGACGUUGGAUGAAGGCACAGGCCUAGGAAUCAUGCACAUACACAGAAACAUUUGCCCAAAUUCUAGAGGUAACCUCCUUUAGUAUGCCCAGAGGAAGGGCCAUACAGUAGCCAUGGAUUCCCUACAGGUUUCCUCCCCUCUGGAGGUUUUUCCUGUCCUGAGUAUUAGUUACUGUACGCUCUUUGUGAGUGAUGGGAGGUUACAAAAAAUCCCCUACACAAACAUUUUAAUAAAUAAUAAAUAAAGUUCCCCUUUUUUUA